UACGUAGGGGGCGAGCGUUGUCCGGAUUUAUUGGGCGUAAAGAGCUCGUAGGCGGUUCGAUAAGUCAGGUGUAAAAACUCCAGGCUCAACUUGGAGAGGCCACCUGAUACUGUCGUGACUAGAGUCCGGUAGAGGAGCACGGAAUUCCUGGUGUAGCGGUGAAAUGCGCAGAUAUCAGGAGGAACACCAGCGGCGAAGGCGGUGCUCUGGGCCGGAACUGACGCUGAGGAGCGAAAGCGUGGGGAGCAAACAGG
This 254-nucleotide ribosomal RNA is filed under the name uncultured bacterium. RNAcentral's name for it is "partial 16S ribosomal RNA". It matches the Rfam family "Bacterial small subunit ribosomal RNA", at positions 524 to 776 of the family's 1533-position model. The record is from RNAcentral.